GAGGACUGUAGGUCGGCCAUCAUACAAGGAGAUCUCUUCUUGGAGCAUCUUCUCCCAUGCAGUUGCCGCUUGAAGCUGUUCAACGGUAGCAGUCUUUUCAGCAUUGGCGACCAUCACUUUAUCCAUCCAUCCCCGAUGGAGGUCGGCGAUCUUCUGAUAUCCACUCUCUAAAGCAUACAUAUUGUGCACCCACUGAAAAGAAAAAAAUAAGUCAAGAUAGAUAAAAAAAAGAUAGAGGGAAAUGUUGGAAACUUACCCUGAGCAUCAUCGGAUAAAAUGAGGAAAACAUUUCGAACACCGUCUGAUUUCUCCUAUGCUCCCUAUCAAUCAGGAGAAGCGCAGCCUCGAUGAGUUGUCUGGCCAAUGAUGGAUUGGCCAAGGCCGACUCACCGACAGGGAUUCUGAUGUUGAAGAGGGUGGAGAGGCCCACAGAUGACUCAUCAUCGAUAGAAGUAGCCGGUGCCUUCCCUCGGUCCCCAGUAGGUGGUUGCAUGCUUAAGACUAUCAUGAAGUUGUGCUCAACUGUGCCUGAGAUCAUUCCACUGGAGGAACAGCUGGCGCAGCAGCAGAUUGUUUGGGUUCGGCCAUGACUUUUGAUUCAGUCCGAACCCCCAUUGAUGGAACC
RNAcentral lists this long non-coding RNA (625 nucleotides) under Elaeis guineensis (African oil palm). RNAcentral's name for it is "long non-coding RNA (EGUI_LNC008555)". The record is from RNAcentral. Lineage: Eukaryota; Viridiplantae; Streptophyta; Magnoliopsida; Arecales; Arecaceae.